This 353-nucleotide ribosomal RNA is filed under the name uncultured eukaryote. RNAcentral describes it as "partial 18S ribosomal RNA". It matches the Rfam family "Eukaryotic small subunit ribosomal RNA", at positions 1470 to 1796 of the family's 1831-position model. The record is from RNAcentral.
CCCUUAGAUAUCUUGGAAUGCACGCGGGAUACAAUAAUUAAGAUAAUAAGUUUAUUUUAGUUAACUGUUAUCUCUUGAUAUACAUGUUAUUAAAACCUUAUCCGAAAGGAUUGGGAAAUCUCCAAAUCUUAAUUUUGACAAGGAUCGUCUCUUGUAACAGAGGCGUGAAAGAGGAAUACCUAGUAGGCGUGAGUCAACACCUCGCACCGAUUAAGUCCCUGCUUUUUGUACACACCGCCCGUCGCAUCAAGGAACAUGAUUGAAGUCAUGAAGCUUACGGAUAGUAUGAGCCCCUGUGGUUUGUCUAAAAGUAAACUGAAUGGUUUUAAUCUUACCAUGAUGAAGUCGUAACA